CAUGCAAAGGCCGCCGCUGAAAAUCCUUACUGGAUAUCUCCUGCAUAUGCAACGUCACAACCAAAGCCUAUUUUCCAAGAAGUGUCUGAUGAUGAUGAUGAUGAUGUACAUCAAACAAGCAAGAAACCUAAGUUAGGAACUUAAAAAAAAUCUACUGUAAAUAUAGGUUUGUUUUGUUAUAUAAACUAUGGGUUAAUUUUUUUUAAUCAUUUAUUUGACUGAGAAGUACCAUACUUCCCCAAUUGCAGUAAUGACAGUUUAAUACAAAACAAUUUAUGUUGUAUGGGAGGUCAGUUUCAUAUAUUCAAGAAAUUAUUUUUUAAUAAAAAUGCAGUUUCAGGA
RNAcentral lists this long non-coding RNA (342 nucleotides) under Anneissia japonica. Its description in RNAcentral is "uncharacterized LOC117123716". Lineage: Eukaryota; Metazoa; Echinodermata; Crinoidea; Comatulida; Comatulidae. The record is from RNAcentral.